UCGGGUGCGUCCGUUCCUUGAGAACUCAACAGCGUGCACUAUGUUCAAUGCCAAAUUAUUGAACCCCGACCCCAUCGUUUGGUGGGGGGAGGAUUCCUUUGGAUUGAUGGACAGUCAGUUUGAUUGUUCUUUCAGUCAGAGAUUGAAACUCUCAAUGCCUCUUCGGGGGUGUUGGAACCAUUUUUUUUGGAGAGUUUGAUCCUGGCUCAGGACGAACGCUGGCGGCGUGCUUAACACAUGCAAGUCGAACGAUGAACCUGGAGCUUGCUCUGGGGGAUUAGUGGCGAACGGGUGAGUAACACGUGAGUAACCUGCCCUGGACUCUGGGAUAACCCCGAGAAAUCGGAGCUAAUACCGGAUAGGACCUGGAACCGCAUGGUUUUGGGUGGAAAGUUUUUUCGGUCUGGGAUGGACUCGCGGCCUAUCAGCUUGUUGGUGAGGUAAUGGCUCACCAAGGCGUCGACGGGUAGCCGGCCUGAGAGGGUGACCGGCCACACUGGGACUGAGACACGGCCCAGACUCCUACGGGAGGCAGCAGUGGGGAAUAUUGCACAAUGGGCGAAAGCCUGAUGCAGCAACGCCGCGUGAGGGAUGACGGCCUUCGGGUUGUAAACCUCUUUUAGUAGGGAAGAAGGGCUUCGGCUUGACGGUACCUGCAGAAAAAGCACCGGCUAACUACGUGCCAGCAGCCGCGGUAAUACGUAGGGUGCGAGCGUUGUCCGGAAUUAUUGGGCGUAAAGAGCUCGUAGGCGGUUUGUCACGUCUGCUGUGAAAUCCCGAGGCUCAACCUCGGGCCUGCAGUGGGUACGGGCAGACUGGAGUGCGGUAGGGGAGAUUGGAAUUCCUGGUGUAGCGGUGGAAUGCGCAGAUAUCAGGAGGAACACCGAUGGCGAAGGCAGAUCUCUGGGCCGUAACUGACGCUGAGGAGCGAAAGCGUGGGGAGCGAACAGGAUUAGAUACCCUGGUAGUCCACGCCGUAAACGUUGGGCGCUAGAUGUGGGGACCAUUCCACGGUUUCCGUGUCGUAGCUAACGCAUUAAGCGCCCCGCCUGGGGAGUACGGCCGCAAGGCUAAAACUCAAAGGAAUUGACGGGGGCCCGCACAAGCGGCGGAGCAUGCGGAUUAAUUCGAUGCAACGCGAAGAACCUUACCAAGGCUUGACAUAUACGAGAACGCCGCAGAAAUGUGGAACUCUUUGGACACUCGUAUACAGGUGGUGCAUGGUUGUCGUCAGCUCGUGUCGUGAGAUGUUGGGUUAAGUCCCGCAACGAGCGCAACCCUCGUCGUAUGUUGCCAGCACGUAAUGGUGGGAACUCAUAUGAGACUGCCGGGGUCAACUCGGAGGAAGGUGGGGAUGACGUCAAAUCAUCAUGCCCCUUAUGUCUUGGGCUUCACGCAUGCUACAAUGGCCGGUACAAAGGGCUGCGAUGUCGUAAGGCGGAGCGAAUCCCAAAAAGCCGGUCUCAGUUCGGAUUGAGGUCUGCAACUCGACCUCAUGAAGUCGGAGUCGCUAGUAAUCGCAGAUCAGCAACGCUGCGGUGAAUACGUUCCCGGGCCUUGUACACACCGCCCGUCAAGUCAUGAAAGUCGGUAACACCCGAAGCCGGUGGCCUAACCCUUGUGGAGGGAGCCGUCGAAGGUGGGAUCGGUGAUUAGGACUAAGUCGUAACAAGGUAGCCGUACCGGAAGGUGCGGCUGGAUCACCUCCUUUCU
Molecule: ribosomal RNA, 1713 nt
Filed under: Agromyces cerinus subsp. cerinus
Lineage: Bacteria; Bacillati; Actinomycetota; Actinomycetes; Micrococcales; Microbacteriaceae
Description: bacterial SSU rRNA
Rfam family: Bacterial small subunit ribosomal RNA (bases 184-1711)
Source: RNAcentral